AUGGCCUUGUCGGAGAUCCCCGACGAGCUCCUGGUGGAAAUCCUCCUCGGCCUUCCCACCCCAGAGGACCUCAUCCGCGCCUCCGCCGCCUGCGUCUCCUUCCGCCGCCUCGUCGCCGACCGCGCCUUCCUCCGGCGCUUCCGCAAGCUCCACCCCGCGCCCCUCCUCGGCUUCCUCGACUACAAAGGAUUCCACCCCGCCGAACCGCCUCACCCCUCCGCGCCGGCGGCCAGGGCCGACGGGCCGUCGCCAGCGCCGCCGACUUCGACUUCACCUUCCUCCCCGCCACCUACUGGGAGUGGGACUGGACCGUGCGGGAAGUCCGCGACGGCCGCGUCCUCCUCGACAGACCCUGCCGCCAUUCAGGGGACGUCAUUCAGAGUGAUCUGGAUGCUGCUGCUCAAAACUAAGCCGAUGGCCGCUGUUUUCUCUUCCUCCACAGGGCAAUGGCGAGCCAUUACAUCCCUGAUCCACAGCGACUCGUUACCUGGCUUUGCGUUAUCAACAUGGAAGCUUUGGUUCGUGUCGCGCCAUUACGCACAUGGUUGCUUCUACUGGGUUUCAGGUACCAGUGAAAAAUUGCUCGUGCUUGACAUCCGGACGAUGGAGUUCUCCAUGGUUGACCACCCACCCUGUGCCAGAUAUUCGGGCGAUGAUGUGGCCAUCGUGGAGGCAGGCCAAGGCAUAACUCUGAUGUUUGUGCCUAAACCGGACACGUCUCGCCUAAUUUAUACCGUUUGGCGAAACAAUGGUGGGAGUUCCACUCACUGGCAGAUGCAGAAUGAGCCAUUCUCGCUGGAUUCUGGGUCCGUGAUCAAGGGUGCGGUGGGUAGGCACUUGCUCCUAUAUUAUGGUGGAAGCUCGUCAGUUGAGCGAGGUUGUUACACGCGGGUGUGUGGUUCAUAUCCCGACCCGUCAGAAGCAUAUUGCAACUUCCCACCAUCGUUAUUAUCGUCGCCGAGAGUGUCAAGUGGCACACGCCAUGCUGAUGCCCAGGGAGCGGGGGAUGAUUUGCUGGUGCCUGAACUAUGA
Molecule: ribosomal RNA, 1032 nt
Filed under: Triticum aestivum (bread wheat)
Lineage: Eukaryota; Viridiplantae; Streptophyta; Magnoliopsida; Poales; Poaceae
Description: partial small subunit ribosomal RNA
Source: RNAcentral